Molecule: ribosomal RNA, 253 nt
Filed under: uncultured bacterium
Lineage: Bacteria
Description: partial 16S ribosomal RNA
Rfam family: Bacterial small subunit ribosomal RNA
Source: RNAcentral
UACGGGGGGGGCAAGCGUUGUUCGGAAUUACUGGGCGUAAAGGGUUCGUAGGUGGCCAACUAAGUCAGACGUGAAAUCCCUCAGCUCAACUGGGGAACUGCGUCUGAUACUGGUUGGCUUGAGUGCAGGAGAGGAACGCGGAAUUCCAGGUGUAGCGGUGAAAUGCGUAGAUAUCUGGAGGAACACCUGCGGCGAAGGCGGGUUGCUGGGCUGACACUGACGCUGAGGCGCGAAAGCUAGGGGAGCGAACGGG